AUAGCGAUGCAGGGGAACUAAGUGUAGUUGAGAAUGACAGAAGAGGCUGUCUAACCCUUUGAACCUGACAGUUAACACUGUGGUAGGGAGCAUUCGGAAUUUAGUA
RNAcentral lists this non-coding RNA (106 nucleotides) under Lactonifactor longoviformis. Its description in RNAcentral is "TPP sequence". It matches the Rfam family "TPP riboswitch aptamer (THI element)". From Rfam's summary of the family: Vitamin B(1) in its active form thiamin pyrophosphate (TPP) is an essential coenzyme that is synthesised by coupling of pyrimidine and thiazole moieties in bacteria. The previously detected thiamin-regulatory element, thi box was extended, resulting in a new, highly conserved RNA secondary structure, the THI element, which is widely distributed in eubacteria and also occurs in some archaea. RNAcentral also lists the same sequence under 1 other name. The record is from RNAcentral. Lineage: Bacteria; Bacillati; Bacillota; Clostridia; Eubacteriales; Clostridiaceae.